RNAcentral lists this long non-coding RNA (2949 nucleotides) under Chlamydomonas reinhardtii. RNAcentral describes it as "long non-coding RNA (CREI_LNC000969)". Lineage: Eukaryota; Viridiplantae; Chlorophyta; Chlorophyceae; Chlamydomonadales; Chlamydomonadaceae. The record is from RNAcentral.
GGCCCAUGCAGCAAUCGCUCCCAUGCAGACUUCUGGACCGCUGCUCGUCGCCCCGCGUCAUUUGAACCGCUGCUCGUGAACCCGUUCACUUAAGAAGCACGUUACUUAUAUCGGAGCACAACAGCAGGCAUGUCAGGCUUACAAGUAAAGACAAACCGGAAGCAUUUGCGAGCGAGUCGUGUUUGUCCGCCUUCCAUUGGCCCUCAUCAGUUCUCGUAUCAUGGCAUGAUAUGCGUCAGGUAGUGUUCCUUGUGACUCGUGCUUCAGCACUGAACGUGCGCGAUGUAAGCUGGCGAUGGCGACAGCAACACUAUACCAACGAAUCACUACAGCAUUCAAGUUCACAUCUAAAUUUAACAACAUAGCGCACAAAAACACAUGAAUUAAGUACAGCAGCGGCCGCAGCGACGAGCCCGUGUGGACAAGGACGGCGCCGUUCCUGCAGAUAAUGAGCGGCACAGUGGCACGAAUGGGAGGAAGCAGGGGACAAGGGCGUGGAUGCAGUGCCAUGGCGGUGGUAACGCGCUACCAUUGCGGACCAAACGUGGGACUGUGGCCUAGAGGAGUUUGUAGGACGGUGAUGAUCAAGGGGUUGCUGCCGAAGAUCGUGCCGUUUGCUGACUCAUGUGGUGCUGGGCCUGAAGGACACGAGAAGGACUGAGCCCCAGGGACUGUUUCCGCCCCAGCCUCAGUUCCGCCCCGACCCACGGCCGCCCAUACUCGAGCCCACGGCCGCCCAUAACCGAGCCCAGUUCCGCCCCAACCCACGGCCGCCCAUACUCGACUAUGUGAUCUCCACCGAUUGAAAUAGUGGAGCAGUCAAAUUACAUGGUUGUUUGGCAGAACAUAAGCAAGACGGCACGCAGAAGGCAGGGGUGGUGCGGAAUGAGCAGGAAUGAGAGUGAACCUUACCUUUCACCUUCAACUGGGCAUUCUUUGAUACUGGGCUCCUGCAUGGGCACAGGGCAGAGGCAGAAAGCCGGAGGGGGGGAGAGUAUCUUCGUCAAAACGAAAGUGUGCAUAAGGAUGCGGAUGUUACAGAGGGGACAGUCCCAGCUCCCGAAGACGCCGAGCCAUCACAUGCUAUCAGGGCCCAACCCCGACUUUGCUGCAAACCCUCCCGCGGGCAAAGUCCGUGUGACUCCGCGCACAGUGAGUCCUAGCCAAGCCUCAACCCGCCAGAGCCCCACCGCUGUGCCUCAACGCCACAAGCCUAGGCACAGGAGUGCCGGGAAACGUUUAGGCCGCAGGACACACGCACAGCGCACGCACUAACCAGGGCGCAAGCGUCCAGGUACUAGAACGGUCGCCCACACGUGCAUCCUGCCCACACACAGAGCCACCAACCACGCACAACCUCUCACGGCGAGGGGGGCGGGGAAUCAGCGUCAUACGGCAAGCGCAAAACCAUGCCGUCACCAACAUAAGGGGGCAGGCGGACCAGGGGAUGCAGCAACAAGCAUAGCCGUCUCAUGUGCACCACGAAGCAGCCGUACACACCGUUCUCAAUGGUGGAGAAGCUGGCAUGGCGUUCAGUCGUUGUCAUAAGGGCAAAGUUCGGAAAUGUCGUCGUCAGGCGUGGCCCGCACGACCGGCGAGUCACGCACUUUGACAUUGCAGUUUCGUCGGCCGCGUCAUGGUGGGUCUUUCAGAACAAAAACCUGCGAGACGGGGAGAGGCGAAGGGGAAAAUUGAAACUUAAUCGCUACAGCCGGGCAAACAUUCUCAGCCCGCUGUGUUGCGAGGAGUUGUGAGCAUUUAUUGAUGCAUUGCGAGGGAAUACAUGAGUGCUGGAGCCCUGAUUUGUGCGCGCGACUAACAAACGGGCGAGUAAAGCGCGACCGUUGGAAGGCAAGACUCGUUGCUCACCGCAAACGGACGCAUUGUGAUUCAUCUUUUGUCAGUGCCUGGAGUGAGGAGCAGGACAGCACCGCGCACCGCGCAGAGAACCUGCGGGACGGGGGAGAGGCGAAGGGAGAAUUUAAACUGACUCGCGACAGCCGAGCAAAACUUCUCAGCCCGCUGCGAGGAGAUGCGCGGAAAUAUUGCUGUGUUGCGAGGGAAUACAUGCAUGCUGGAGCCCUGACGAAUGCGCGAGUACAGCGCGACUGUCGCAAGGCAAGACUCACUGCUCGUCUGCUCACCGCGAAUGGACGCAUUGUAUUUCAUCUCCAGUCAGUGCAGAGUCCAGAGCAGAGCAGCGUCACCGUGAAUCACCAUCACAACCAGCGAGUCGCGUGAAGCGCGAAGCAAGGGCGGAAGGGUUGAAACAAACUUUGUGUUGACGAGUGUAUAGUGGCUGUUGAAGACGUGCACCGUAUUCAUACUGCUCCACAAAUUGAAUCGGCGGCCUUGAUGGGAUUGGGCGGGAUUGGGCUCGGUCGCAUAGUCGAGCGUGUAUCUGUAUCUAUCUGUAUCUGCAAGAGAAGAAGUGAACUCCUGAAAUGCUCCAUGCCGCCCCAUGCCGACGUUACAUGGCAAGCCAGGGCCCCGGGAAACGUUGUGUGUAUGUUAUGUAUCAUGACAGAACGAUUAUGGCUCUGCUACCUCGAAAGAGCGACAGGUACACGACCGAAACGUUGAGAUUUAUGACGCCCGUCGUUCCCGUGGGGAAUGGCCUUGUCUUAGUGCAUUGAAUGCAUACAGGUUCACAUAUGGAAGCAGAACUGGCUGAUUGUACAUCGCUACUUGGCGUUUAGACAAAGAUGGUUUCGCGUCCCCCCGCCGGGGGAUGCCCACUCGUAGCCUCCAGGAUUGACCCAGGAUUCGCUCCGAAUAAUCUAUGUGUGUAAGAGACCACUUAUUGAAGUCGCAGAAUUGGUACGCCUGUGGUGGAUGUGGCUGUGAGGGCUCUUACCCUACUUCGGUCUAUGCAGCCACCUGCUUGGCUGCUUUGGUGUGCUCAGCACCGCUAUAUUGCAUGCUAAUGUAUCUGAACUAUGAUUGGGG